GAGGAUUUAGCUCAGUGGCAUAAGCACCUGCCUUGCAAGCAGGCAAUCGUGCAAAUUCACAUUUUUUU
This 68-nucleotide transfer RNA is filed under the name Cavia porcellus (domestic guinea pig). It matches the Rfam family "tRNA". From Rfam's summary of the family: Transfer RNA (tRNA) molecules are approximately 80 nucleotides in length. Their secondary structure includes four short double-helical elements and three loops (D, anti-codon, and T loops). The record is from Rfam by way of RNAcentral. Lineage: Eukaryota; Metazoa; Chordata; Mammalia; Rodentia; Caviidae.